UGCAGAUCUACCUUUUGUCUGUUCACUGUAGUACAAUGCGAUUACGAAUAAUACUCCAGCUCCCAUUAUGAUUUCUUUACUGCUUAGCCUGAAGUUACUGGGCAUUUGGUUUGACCUUCCUCCUCAAGCGACACAGACAUGUCAGCCGGCAAGGUUGCAAUGACCUCUUGAUCCCUAGCUGCCACCGGAUUCCCAGAAGGUAAGUAAGCUCUUCUCAGAGCAUCUCAUCUCUCUUUUCG
This 239-nucleotide long non-coding RNA is filed under the name Fukomys damarensis (Damara mole-rat). RNAcentral describes it as "lncRNA (ENSFDAG00000026171.1)". Lineage: Eukaryota; Metazoa; Chordata; Mammalia; Rodentia; Bathyergidae. The record is from RNAcentral.